RNAcentral lists this ribosomal RNA (827 nucleotides) under Chromohalobacter canadensis. Its description in RNAcentral is "bacterial SSU rRNA". It matches the Rfam family "Bacterial small subunit ribosomal RNA", at positions 59 to 878 of the family's 1533-position model. Lineage: Bacteria; Pseudomonadati; Pseudomonadota; Gammaproteobacteria; Oceanospirillales; Halomonadaceae. The record is from RNAcentral.
AAGUCGAGCGGAACGAUCCUAGCUUGCUAGGAGGCGUCGAGCGGCGGACGGGUGAGUAAUGCAUAGGAAUCUACCCAGUCGUGGGGGAUAACCUGAGGAAACUCAGGCUAAUACCGCAUACGUCCUACGGGAGAAAGCGGGGGCUCUUCGGACCUCGUGCGAUUGGAUGAGCCUAUGUCGGAUUAGCUAGUUGGUAAGGUAACGGCUUACCAAGGCGACGAUCCGUAGCUGGUCUGAGAGGAUGAUCAGCCACACCGGGACUGAGACACGGCCCGGACUCCUACGGGAGGCAGCAGUGGGGAAUAUUGGACAAUGGGCGAAAGCCUGAUCCAGCCAUGCCGCGUGUGUGAAGAAGGCUUUCGGGUUGUAAAGCACUUUCAGCGAGGAAGAAAGCGUGCCGUUUAAUACACGGUACGGACGACAUCACUCGCUGAAGAAGCACCGGCUAACUCCGUGCCAGCAGCCGCGGUAAUACGGAGGGUGCAAGCGUUAAUCGGAAUUACUGGGCGUAAAGCGCGCGUAGGCGGCGUGUCACGCCGGGUGUGAAAGCCCCGGGCUCAACCUGGGAACGGCAUCCGGAACGGGCAGGCUAGAGUGCAGGAGAGGAAGGUAGAAUUCCCGGUGUAGCGGUGAAAUGCGUAGAGAUCGGGAGGAAUACCAGUGGCGAAGGCGGCCUUCUGGACUGACACUGACGCUGAGGUGCGAAAGCGUGGGUAGCAAACAGGAUUAGAUACCCUGGUAGUCCACGCCGUAAACGAUGUCGACUAGCCGUUGGGUCCCUUGAGGACUUAGUGGCGCAGUUAACGCGAUAAGUCGACCGCCUGGGG